GACAGAGGGUGCAAACGUUGUUCGGAAUUACUGGGCGUAAAGCGCGUGUAGGCUGCUCAGAAAGUCGGAUGUGAAAGCCCUGGGCUUAACCUAGGAAGUGCAUUCGAAACUUCUGAGCUGGAGUUCUGGAGAGGAAGGCGGAAUUCUCGGUGUAGAGGUGAAAUUCGUAGAUAUCGAGAGGAACAGCCGGUGGCGAAGGCGGCCUUCUGGACAGUGACUGACGCUGAGACGCGAAAGCGUGGGGAGCAAACAGG
RNAcentral lists this ribosomal RNA (254 nucleotides) under uncultured bacterium. RNAcentral's name for it is "partial 16S ribosomal RNA". It matches the Rfam family "Bacterial small subunit ribosomal RNA", at positions 524 to 776 of the family's 1533-position model. The record is from RNAcentral.